Heterocephalus glaber (naked mole-rat) is the source of this 651-nucleotide long non-coding RNA. The record is from Ensembl. Lineage: Eukaryota; Metazoa; Chordata; Mammalia; Rodentia; Bathyergidae.
CACUGGCUGAGUGUGCUGUAGGCGGAAACAGAGGUCUUAAGACAAAGUCUGGGGAAGGUGCAGCUUUUAGAAGGGCAUGGGGCUGUGUCUGGGGUGGGCAGGAGAGUGGAGGGAACCGAAGUGAUUUCCUGCAGACCGGGGCUGGGAGAUGGGGCCUUGAUCAGCGGCACAGCCCAGUGCUGAGCAAGCCCAGCGCAGUGCUGGCCCACCCGCCCACCCUCAGGCCUUCAGCUUCCUGCAAGUCACAGCUUCCCCUGGGAAGGUCGCCAGGAGAGCCAGGGCAGCGCCACUGCUCGGGCUCGGGCUCGGGCUCGGGCCACAGCCUGUUCCCGGGAGCGCGGUCUGUCCUCCACACACAGCCACCCCCGCAGGCAAGCAGCUCUUCGAAGACUCGUGCAAUAAAUCAUACACAGGAACAACAACAUCCGGGAUCAUCUAUCCUGGAAGAAAUACUUUGCGUUCCAGAACCACUGGGCCCAAGAGGUCACAGUCCAGUUCCCCAGGCUUAGUCCUGCUUCCCUCGCCCGGCCGCGCUUUCGCUCAGAAACAGCCAGACUCACGGCACUGAUUUGCCUCCUGAGCCUUGAGAAGGGAAAUUGCAGUCGUACGGACUUCCGAGUGCACGUGUGUGUGGGUGUUGGCUGCACGGUG